UACAGGGGGUGCAAACGUUGCUCGGAAUCAUUGGGCGUAAAGCGCACGUAGGCGGUUCGUUAUGUCGGAUGUGAAAGCCCUUGGCUUAACCGAGGAAGUGCAUCCGAAACUGGCGAGCUAGAGUACGAAAGAGGAUCGCGGAAUUCCCGGUGUAGAGGUGAAAUUCGUAGAUAUCGGGAGGAACACCGGUGGCGAAGGCGGCGAUCUGGGUCGAUGCUGACGCUGAGGUGCGAAAGCGUGGGGAGCAAACAGG
RNAcentral lists this ribosomal RNA (253 nucleotides) under uncultured bacterium. RNAcentral describes it as "partial 16S ribosomal RNA". It matches the Rfam family "Bacterial small subunit ribosomal RNA", at positions 524 to 776 of the family's 1533-position model. The record is from RNAcentral.